GACGAACGCUGGCGGCGUGCUUAACACAUGCAAGUGGUGCGACGAACCAGGGCUUGCCCUGGGGCAGAGCCGCGAACGGGUGAGUAACACGUGGGUAACGUGCCCCGAUGACUGGGACAACCCGGGGAAACCCGGGCUAAUACCGGAUGUGCUCCCUCACCUCGGUGAGACGAGCAAAGGAAGCUUCGGCCUCCGCGUUGGGAUCGGCCCGCGGCCCAUUAGCUUGUUGGUGAGGUAACGGCNCACCAAGGCUGCGAUGGGUAGCUGGUCUGAGAGGACGAUCAGCCACACUGGGACUGAGACACGGCCCAGACUCCUACGGGAGGCAGCAGUGGGGAAUCUUGCGCAAUGCGCGACAGCGUGACGCAGCAACGCCGCGUGAAGGAUGAAAUCCCUCGGGAUGUAAACUUCGCAAGAAUGGGAAGAAUUAGCGAGCGCUAAUACCGCUCGUGAUGACGGUACCAUUUGUAA
This 471-nucleotide ribosomal RNA is filed under the name uncultured bacterium. RNAcentral describes it as "bacterial SSU rRNA". It matches the Rfam family "Bacterial small subunit ribosomal RNA", at positions 28 to 489 of the family's 1533-position model. The record is from RNAcentral.